AGAGUUUGAUCCUGGCUCAGAACGAACGCUGGCGGCAUGGAUUAGGCAUGCAAGUCGAACGCCGGUAGCAAUACCGGAGUGGCGCAAGGGUGAGGAACGCGUGAGUGAUCUGCCCUCAAGUUGGGAAUAGCUCCUGGAAACGGGAAUUAAUACCGAAUGUGAUCAUAGAGCUGCAUGGUUUUAUGAUUAAAGGCGCAAGUCGCUUGAGGAGGAGCUCGCGUCCCAUUAGCUAGUUGGUGAGGUAACGGCCCACCAAGGCAAUGAUGGGUAGCUGGUCUGAGAGGACGACCAGCCACACUGGGACUGAGAACUACCCAGACUCCUACGGGAGGCUGCAGUCGAGAAUUUUGGGCAAUGGGCGAAAGCCUGACCCAGCAAUGCCGCGUGCGGGAUGAAGGUCUUCGGAUUGUAAACCGCUGUCGAGGGGAACGAAAUUUGACGGUACCCCUAGAGGAAGCCACGGCUAACUACGUGCCAGCAGCCGCGGUAAUACGUAGGUGGCGAGCGUUGUUCGGAUUUAUUGGGCGUAAAGGGUCCGCAGGGGGUUGAUUAAGUCUGACGUGAAAUCCCUGAGCUUAACUCAGGAACUGCGUUGGAGACUGGUUGACUAGAGUGUUGGAGAGGUGAUUGGAAUUCCAGGUGUAGCGGUGGAAUGCGUAGAUAUCUGGAAGAACAUCGAAAGCGAAGGCAGAUCACUGGACAAUGACUGACCCUCAGGGACGAAAGCAUGGGGAGCAAACAGGAUUAGAUACCCUGGUAGUCCAUGCCCUAAACGUUGUCAACUUGAUGUGAGCGGAAUUACUCCCGUUCGUGUCGAAGCUAACGCGAUAAGUUGACCGCCUGGGAACUACGGCCGCAAGGCUAAAACUCAAAGGAAUUGACGGGGGCCCGCACAAGCGGUGGAGCAUGUGGCUUAAUUCGAGGCAACGCGAAGAACCUUACCUAGAUUUGACAUAUACCGGACCGGUGUAGAAAUACACUUUCCCGCAAGGGUCGGUAUACAGGUGCUGCAUGGCUGUCGUCAGCUCGUGCCGUG
This 1036-nucleotide ribosomal RNA is filed under the name human gut metagenome. Its description in RNAcentral is "bacterial SSU rRNA". It matches the Rfam family "Bacterial small subunit ribosomal RNA", at positions 8 to 1069 of the family's 1533-position model. The record is from RNAcentral.